This 279-nucleotide ribosomal RNA is filed under the name Parasutterella excrementihominis YIT 11859. RNAcentral's name for it is "partial 16S ribosomal RNA". It matches the Rfam family "Bacterial small subunit ribosomal RNA", at positions 498 to 776 of the family's 1533-position model. Lineage: Bacteria; Pseudomonadati; Pseudomonadota; Betaproteobacteria; Burkholderiales; Sutterellaceae. The record is from RNAcentral.
UAUGGGUGUGCCAGCCGCCGCGGUAAUACGUAGGGUGCGAGCGUUAAUCGGCAUUACUGGGCGUAAAGGGUGCGCAGGCGGUUGAGUAAGACAGAUGUGAAAUCCCCGAGCUUAACUCGGGAAUGGCAUAUGUGACUGCUCGACUAGAGUGUGUCAGAGGGAGGUGGAAUUCCACGUGUAGCAGUGAAAUGCGUAGAUAUGUGGAAGAACACCGAUGGCGAAGGCAGCCUCCUGGGACAUAACUGACGCUCAGGCACGAAAGCGUGGGGAGCAAACAGG